Molecule: ribosomal RNA, 450 nt
Filed under: uncultured Rhizobium sp.
Lineage: Bacteria; Pseudomonadati; Pseudomonadota; Alphaproteobacteria; Hyphomicrobiales; Rhizobiaceae
Description: partial 16S ribosomal RNA
Source: RNAcentral
CACGAAGUUAGCCGGGGCUUCUUCUCCGACUACCGUCAUUAUCUUCAUCGGUGAAAGAGCUUUACAACCCUAAGGCCUUCAUCACUCACGCGGCAUGGCUGGAUCAGGCUUGCGCCCAUUGUCCAAUAUUCCCCACUGCUGCCUCCCGUAGGAGUUUGGGCCGUGUCUCAGUCCCAAUGUGGCUGAUCAUCCUCUCAGACCAGCUAUGGAUCGUCGCCUUGGUAGGCCUUUACCCCACCAACUAGCUAAUCCAACGCGGGCCAAUCCUUUACCGAUAAAUCUUUCCCCCGAAGGGCACAUACGGUAUUAGCUCCAGUUUCCCGGAGUUGUUCCGUAGUAAAGGGUAUGUUCCCACGUGUUACUCACCCGUCUGCCGCUCCCCUUGCGGGCGCUCGACUUGCAUGUGUUAAGCCUGCCGCCAGCGUUCGUUCUGAGCCAGGAUCAAACUCU